RNAcentral lists this ribosomal RNA (274 nucleotides) under uncultured bacterium. RNAcentral describes it as "partial 16S ribosomal RNA". It matches the Rfam family "Bacterial small subunit ribosomal RNA", at positions 523 to 796 of the family's 1533-position model. The record is from RNAcentral.
AUACAGAGGUCUCAAGCGUUGUUCGGAUUCAUUGGGCGUAAAGGGUGCGUAGGCUGUAUGGUAAGUCAGAUGUGAAAUUUUAGGGCUCAACCCUGAAACUGCAUCCGAUACUGCCGUGCUAGAGGAUUGGAGAGGAGAUUGGAAUUCAUGGUGUAGCAGUGAAAUGCAUAGAUAUCAUGAGGAAGACCAGUGGCGAAGGCGAAUCUCUGGACAAAUCCUGACGCUGAGGCACGAAGGCUAGGGUAGCGAACGGGAUUAGAUACCCUAGUAGUCC